This 411-nucleotide long non-coding RNA is filed under the name Hordeum vulgare. Its description in RNAcentral is "long non-coding RNA (HVUL_LNC015019)". The record is from RNAcentral. Lineage: Eukaryota; Viridiplantae; Streptophyta; Magnoliopsida; Poales; Poaceae.
GGUGUUUAGGCUCAUGGCAUAUGAAGAGGCAAUAUAUUUUCAGUGGUAGGCAGCGAGCAAUAUGACGUGGAAUCGAAACUAACAUAACAAGUCUAGAUAUGGGAUCAAGGUCAUGUCAUCUUGCCUGUGAUAUCCUCAGCUUGGAAUGGUUCUGGAUCGUCCUGCGCGUACUCUCCUGACUCCACGUAAUCGGUCUCCGCUCCCGGUGCUACCCAACACAAGAAUGACAGCCAAUGAACAGCAGCACCACAAAAUGCAACAAUCACAUGAUGCAUGAGAUGAUAGUUGAGCAUGCACCAGUAUUUCUAACACUAGCACAAGCAAGUUAAACUACAACGAGUUCCUGGACAGAACUUUGCACUAAACUAUUUGGACAUGCAUGGAAAUGAUAUGGACAGAUGCAUCUCGUAA